GGCCAGCAAAUAUUAUGCCUUAAAAAAAGGCGUAAGAAGGAGAAACUGGGUUCAAAAACAUGGAUGAAAAUUCAAAUAACUUGGAAAGCAGAGAUUAAUAAAUAGAGGAAGAGUAAAGUAGGAUUUGUCCUUUUCUUCGUGACUUACACAUUUAAGUAUUAAUUAAAUUGAAGAUUUAAGUAUUUUUUAAACUGAGAGUUCAUGGGGAGAGAAAAUCCAGCUGUUGAAGACCUCCAAAGCCUGAUGCAGCUGUAGCAGCUCUGAUGUGAUAAGGAAGCUUAACAUGCAGACAAAACGCCAUUCCCUUCAGAGGAACCUCUGUAUGUUCUCCAGAUCCUUCCUAAAACCCAGCCAAGUGAAAUCGCCCUCCUGCAAGGGCUGCCAACAAUCAGCAGCGGGCUCACGUACCUGCCAAGGGUGCCACCGCGUGGACAGUCAUGUCAGUGAUGGAGAGAUAUGAAGAUUCGCAAUGCAAAAGAAGAGUAAAGAUGCACCUGGAAACAAGAAGACAGCUGAGGCACAUAUAACUGCUCCCCUGCGCCUGACCUCAGUAGUAGCUUUGCUGGAGUAAUGUGAAACAUUUCAACAUAUGAGCCAGUUUGUGUGUGAAGAUGCCUUCAUGUCAUGGCUUUCAGGUAAGUUUCUCUUUAAGAUUUUAAAUAAUUUUAAAAGGCUUUAAGAUGUUGCCCUAUUGCAUACCUAUCCAAACAUUUAACGCUUUUGUAGUGACCUGUAGAACCUAAGGUAAUAAAGUAGAAGGGUUAAGAAGAAAGAAUAAUAAA
This 782-nucleotide long non-coding RNA is filed under the name Anas platyrhynchos platyrhynchos (common mallard). Its description in RNAcentral is "lncRNA (ENSAPLG00000030368.1)". Lineage: Eukaryota; Metazoa; Chordata; Aves; Anseriformes; Anatidae. The record is from RNAcentral.